Molecule: ribosomal RNA, 372 nt
Filed under: uncultured bacterium
Lineage: Bacteria
Description: bacterial SSU rRNA
Rfam family: Bacterial small subunit ribosomal RNA
Source: RNAcentral
AAUGAACGUUGGCGGCGUGGAUUAGGCAUGCAAGUCGAGCGCGAACCCCGCAAGGGGGGAAAGCGGCGUAAGGGACAGUAACACGUAGAUUACCUACCCCCAGAUCUGGGAUAGCUGCGGGAAACUGCAGGUAAUACCGGAUAAUGUCUUCGGACCAAAGGUGUGAUUCCGUCCGGGGAUGGGUCUGCGUCCUAUUAGCUAGUUGGUGGGGUAAUGGCCUACCAAGGCAAUGAUGGGUAGUGGGUGUGAGAGCACGACCCGCGUCACUGGGACUGAGACACUGCCCAGACACCUACGGGUGGCUGCAGUCGAGGAUCUUCGGCAAUGGGCGCAAGCCUGACCGAGCGACGCCGCGUGUGGGAUGAAGGCCUU